CUCCCCCUUGACUGGUGGUCUUCUCUUGGUCUCUUAUGUUUUUCUCCUCAUGAAGUAUCUAAAUUUUCUGGUAAUCAGGGCCAAGUCCUUAUCUUCCUCACUAUUGUCUGAUUUUUCUAUCUUUUUCUUCCUGAGCUGUCGACUUGAGAGUUAUGAUCCUUUUUCUUUUGGUUUUCUCCUCAAUAUGUUGCUUCAUGGUCAGUUCGUGAGUCAUGAGAGAUCCAAGCAGCUCCUCCAAUGGUAGAGUAUUCAAAUCCUUGGCCUCUUGGAUUGCAGUGACUUUUGCCUCCCAUGAUCUUGUAAAGAUCUGAGCACUUUUUUCACAAAAUCACUAUUAGAAUAAUAUUUGUCAAGAUUUUUUUAACCAUUUAUUAUGUCAGUG
This 382-nucleotide long non-coding RNA is filed under the name Elaeis guineensis (African oil palm). Its description in RNAcentral is "long non-coding RNA (EGUI_LNC071132)". The record is from RNAcentral. Lineage: Eukaryota; Viridiplantae; Streptophyta; Magnoliopsida; Arecales; Arecaceae.